RNAcentral lists this ribosomal RNA (340 nucleotides) under Triticum aestivum (bread wheat). Its description in RNAcentral is "partial small subunit ribosomal RNA". Lineage: Eukaryota; Viridiplantae; Streptophyta; Magnoliopsida; Poales; Poaceae. The record is from RNAcentral.
AUGACUAGCGUUAAAGUAGCUGGAGUGUUAUGCCUCCUAGUAUUUUUGGCUAUCUCUUCUUGUUCGCGCCAUGCACAAGCAAGCCAAGGGGUAGAUCACUGCACCAUCGACAAAAAUAAGGUGAUGCGAGACUGCUGGGGUAACAUCGAAAAGAACCUUGGUGACCGGGUUCCACGACCGUGGAUCCCAUGUUGCCAAACAAUAAGAGCUGCGAUAGACAUCCACUGCGUCUGUGAUCGGUUCACCGCUCACGAACUGACUAGGAUUAGUCUAUCCAAGUUCGCCAGUGUUACACAUGUAUGCGGCAACGGGUUGCACCCACACACUCAUUGUGCAGGUU